RNAcentral lists this ribosomal RNA (253 nucleotides) under Lachnospira eligens. Its description in RNAcentral is "partial 16S ribosomal RNA". It matches the Rfam family "Bacterial small subunit ribosomal RNA", at positions 524 to 776 of the family's 1533-position model. The record is from RNAcentral. Lineage: Bacteria; Bacillati; Bacillota; Clostridia; Lachnospirales; Lachnospiraceae.
UACGUAUGGAGCAAGCGUUAUCCGGAUUUACUGGGUGUAAAGGGAGUGUAGGUGGCCAUGCAAGUCAGAAGUGAAAAUCCGGGGCUCAACCCCGGAACUGCUUUUGAAACUGUGAGGCUGGAGUGCAGGAGGGGUGAGUGGAAUUCCUAGUGUAGCGGUGAAAUGCGUAGAUAUUAGGAGGAACACCAGUGGCGAAGGCGGCUCACUGGACUGUAACUGACACUGAGGCUCGAAAGUGUGGGGAGCAAACAGG